UUUCAGCUUCACAACAACUUACUCAGAUGUUCAUGAAAAUAAUAAUCUGACAUUUGCUACAGUAAAGGGCGCUGGGCAUCCGGCUCCAGAAUAUUACCGGCAAGAAACUUACUAUUUGUUUGAGAGAUGGCUUAACGGUCAUCCUAUAUAAAAUAUUAAUUACUUAA
Molecule: long non-coding RNA, 167 nt
Organism: Impatiens glandulifera
Lineage: Eukaryota; Viridiplantae; Streptophyta; Magnoliopsida; Ericales; Balsaminaceae
Exons: 2
Source: RefSeq, a predicted model, not a curated record